RNAcentral lists this ribosomal RNA (798 nucleotides) under uncultured Staphylococcus sp. RNAcentral describes it as "SSU rRNA". It matches the Rfam family "Bacterial small subunit ribosomal RNA", at positions 84 to 868 of the family's 1533-position model. Lineage: Bacteria; Bacillati; Bacillota; Bacilli; Caryophanales; Staphylococcaceae. The record is from RNAcentral.
CUCUGACGUUAGCGGCGGACGGGUGAGUAACACGUGGAUAACCUACCUAUAAGACUGGGAUAACUUCGGGAAACCGGAGCUAAUACCGGAUAAUAUAUUGAACCGCAUGGUUCAAUAGUGAAAGACGGUUUUGCUGUCACUUAUAGAUGGAUCCGCGCCGCAUUAGCUAGUUGGUAAGGUAACGGCUUACCAAGGCAACGAUGCGUAGCCGACCUGAGAGGGUGAUCGGCCACACUGGAACUGAGACACGGUCCAGACUCCUACGGGAGGCAGCAGUAGGGAAUCUUCCGCAAUGGGCGAAAGCUUGACGGAGCAACGCCGCGUGAGUGAUGAAGGUCUUCGGAUCGUAAAACUCUGUUAUUAGGGAAGAACAAAUGUGUAAGUAACUAUGCACGUCUUGACGGUACCUAAUCAGAAAGCCACGGCUAACUACGUGCCAGCAGCCGCGGUAAUACGUAGGUGGCAAGCGUUAUCCGGAAUUAUUGGGCGUAAAGCGCGCGUAGGCGGUUUUUUAAGUCUGAUGUGAAAGCCCACGGCUCAACCGUGGAGGGUCAUUGGAAACUGGAAAACUUGAGUGCAGAAGAGGAAAGUGGGAUUCCAUGUGUAGCGGUGAAAUGCGCAGAGAUAUGGAGGAACACCAGUGGCGAAGGCGACUUUCUGGUCUGUAACUGACGCUGAUGUGCGAAAGCGUGGGGAUCAAACAGGAUUAGAUACCCUGGUAGUCCACGCCGUAAACGAUGAGUGCUAAGUGUUAGGGGGUUUCCGCCCCUUAGUGCUGCAGCUAACGCAUUAAGCACU